UACGCUGUUAUCCCUAAAGUAACUUAAUCUUGUAAUCUCUAAGAGAGGAUCAAUUAAACUAAUUAUCAUUAUUCAAUAAAAUUAACAGUUACUUAUUAUAUCUUUGUCGCCCCAACAUAACAAACAGAACAGUAAAUAACAUUAUACUUUAAUUCAAAAAAUACAAAUCUUCGCUUGUAAAGUUUUAUAGGGUCUUAUCGUCCCCCUAAUUCAUUUAAGCCUUUUCACUUAAAAGUAAAAUUCAAACUUUAUAUAAAAGACAGCCAACUCCUUGUCCGACCAUUCAUUCCAGCCUCCAAUUAAAAG
This 306-nucleotide ribosomal RNA is filed under the name Heterocarpus ensifer. RNAcentral's name for it is "partial 16S ribosomal RNA". Lineage: Eukaryota; Metazoa; Arthropoda; Malacostraca; Decapoda; Pandalidae. The record is from RNAcentral.